Molecule: ribosomal RNA, 204 nt
Filed under: uncultured bacterium
Lineage: Bacteria
Description: partial 16S ribosomal RNA
Rfam family: Bacterial small subunit ribosomal RNA
Source: RNAcentral
GAUGAACGUUGGCGGCGUGCCUAACACAUGCAAGUCGAACGCUAGUAGCAAUAUUAGAGUGGCGCACGGGUGAGUAACACGUAGCUUACCCACCUCCCAGCGCGGGAUAACGGUUCGAAAGAACUGCUAAUACCGCAUAAGCUCACGGGCUAUAGAGGCUAGUGAGAAAGGCUUAGGUCACUGGGGAGCGGGGGCGUGCGGCCC